Long non-coding RNA from Nematostella vectensis (starlet sea anemone), 1898 nucleotides. RefSeq lists it as uncharacterized. The record is from RefSeq and is a predicted model, not a curated record. The transcript has 4 exons. Lineage: Eukaryota; Metazoa; Cnidaria; Anthozoa; Actiniaria; Edwardsiidae.
UUCAGGCCCGAGAAGUUCGGGAAAAAUCAAAAUAUAUAAAUCUAUUAAGGGAAUCAUCCUUUACAUGAAUCUUUGUGGUAAAAUGCGAUAUUUGACGAUAUUGCAACACAUUUAGAUACCAUAAAUUUUAUAGAAAUUAGCCAGCUUUUCAAAUUUAAGGAAUCAAUCGUUUUCGGGCCCGAGAAUUGUCGGGUGUUUUGAGAAACGAGCCCCUGGACUAGUAAGAUUUUCUCCGUUCAAAGUUCUUUUUCUUUGAGUAUUUCGCCUAAUACUGUUAAAGAGAAAUGUAUACCUUUGAGAUUUAGGAUUUGUUUGGUGAACAUUUACUUAAAAAGGUAAAAGAGAUUGCGAGAAGGUAAAUUUCAAGGCCAGAUCGGAGAAAUUCGCCAUGCGAGAAAAAAAAAAGCACAUUGUUUCGGGUGUGCUAUUCCUGGACAGCCAUUUUAAGCUUUUUUAUUGGAGGAUUCGGAGGUCAAGCGAUGCUGGAAAUGAUAAUUACCACUGUGGUAUAGUACAAGAGCGGACGCAAUACUUACAAUUUGAGUUCAGUGAACCACAACUAUGGCACGAAGUUUUGGUUGAAGCAACGAUGCGUGUUGCAUGCGAAAAUGCAGGUAGGUUAUAGUAUACUAUCAGUCGCCCUUUUUUCCUUGUAUUAGUUGUUUGCUAUCGUAUACCAAUUCCCUUCCCUCUGUGUUUCGUGAAAUUCAAAUACACAAAAAAUAUGGCGGCCUCGAUAUUUACUCCCUAUUCAGACUGCCCACACACAUGGACUUGAAAUUAUUUCACAUUUUGCGAACUUUGUACAAUUGUGACUUAUAUAUAUUAAACUCUCAUCUAUUAUACAAUAAUACUCUUUAGAACUAUUACAGCAGUUUGCUGAUGUAUUAAUUUAAAUUUACAACUUUCCGUUCCCUAUUUUUUGUGUCACGAAGAAAAAUUCAAGCAAAGGAACAUAGUUGUUCAAUCCCGUCUAUCUACAAUUUACUCUUCUGUUAUUCUUGCCAGAAAUCGGGCUCUCAGUUUUGACUUAAUGUCAUUUGAAGUAUAUGAUUGCUCUCCAUCAUCGUUGUCAUCAUCACAGUCAUCGUUGUCAUCAUCCACUUCCUCCUCCUCAUGUAUAUCAUCUGCAGCCUCGUUCAGCAACCCUUUAUUUAAAGUUGACCCUAGUUUCUCUAUUUUAUCUAACAGAUGAGAAACACAAAUCCUGCAGCUACCAUCAUGGCAUUGAUCGUGGAAGGAAUGACCACAGGGAGUUUGCAUGCGCUCUCGGCUGUUUUCCAGAUGUCAGCAAACCUGUCUAUUAUAAACUCUGCGGCUUUACCACAAAGGACUGUGUAGUUUCUGCGGCCUGGCCGGUGCUGUAUGAUUGGGACGAAUGACUGCUGGAAAGUGGUUUCAAAUCUGGUUGCGUUUAGCACCUUGGCAACAUUGCUUACUUGAGUAGCAGAAAACCAAGGCUCAAUCUCAAUAUGUCCCACACACUCAUCUGCAUUGUCCAUGUUGAAGUCUUGGUAAGCUGGGGGACAGAGUGUAAGGCUACAAAACCUCUGGGCCUGGAACUUGGGUGUGAACCCUCUGCAAACAUCAAGGAUAUUUUAUAAUAUUUAAAGUGUUGGAUCAUUUGAAAAUAGCUGUAUUUGGCUGUGACAUAAUCCCUAAAAAAAAAUUUUUUUUUUCUUCUGCAACAAUGAUGUGUAAUUUAUCCCCUAACCAGUCUUGCCUUGAUAUCUUUAUUUUUUUUGCUCUAGAAAUUUUAUGACACUGUUUAGUAAGAAACUAUUUAAAUAAAUUAGAAUAAUUAGAAAAUAUGUAUUUGUAUUAAUCAGUGUUAUUUCGCUUCAUUGAUAUAUAUAUAUAUUUUUUUGCUAUCUCUCUCAAUAAAUGUGUUACCUUUC